Molecule: transfer RNA, 77 nt
Filed under: Pseudomonadota bacterium
Lineage: Bacteria; Pseudomonadati; Pseudomonadota
Also listed under: 1 other name
Description: tRNA-Arg
Rfam family: tRNA
About the family: Transfer RNA (tRNA) molecules are approximately 80 nucleotides in length.
Source: RNAcentral
GCCCCGGUAGCUCAAUUGGAGAGAGUGGUGGGCUUCGAACCCAAAGGUUGCAGGUUCAAAUCCUGCUCGGGGCACCA